Molecule: ribosomal RNA, 1217 nt
Filed under: Streptomyces olivaceus
Lineage: Bacteria; Bacillati; Actinomycetota; Actinomycetes; Kitasatosporales; Streptomycetaceae
Description: partial 23S ribosomal RNA
Rfam family: Bacterial large subunit ribosomal RNA
Source: RNAcentral
GGCCAAGUUUUUAAGGGCGCACGGUGGAUGCCUUGGCACCAGGAACCGAUGAAGGACGUGGGAGGCCACGAUAGGCCCCGGGGAGUCGUCAACCAGGCUUUGAUCCGGGGGUGUCCGAAUGGGGAAACCCGGCAGUCGUCAUGGGCUGUCACCCGCUGCUGAACUCAUAGGCAGUGUGGAGGGAACGCGGGGAAGUGAAACAUCUCAGUACCCGCAGGAAGAGAAAACAACCGUGAUUCCGGGAGUAGUGGCGAGCGAAACCGGAUGAGGCCAAACCGUAUACGUGUGAGACCCGGCAGGGGUUGCGUGUGCGGGGUUGUGGGAUCUCUCUUGAUCAGUCUGCCGGCUGGUCGACGAGUCAGAAACCGUUGAUGUAGGCGAAGGACAUGCGAAAGGUCCGGCGUAGAGGGUAAGACCCCCGUAGUCGAAACAUUAGCGGCUCGUUUGAGAGACACCCAAGUAGCACGGGGCCCGAGAAAUCCCGUGUGAAUCUGGCGGGACCACCCGCUAAGCCUAAAUAUUCCCUGGUGACCGAUAGCGGAUAGUACCGUGAGGGAAUGGUGAAAAGUACCGCGGGAGCGGAGUGAAAUAGUACCUGAAACCGUGUGCCUACAAGCCGUGGGAGCGUCGCGCAAGGACUUGUCCUUGCGUCGUGACUGCGUGCCUUUUGAAGAAUGAGCCUGCGAGUUUGCGGUGUGUUGCGAGGUUAACCCGAGUGGGGAAGCCGUAGCGAAAGCGAGUCCGAACAGGGCGCUGUAGUAGCACGCUCAAGACCCGAAGCGGAGUGAUCUAGCCAUGGGCAGGUUGAAGCGGAGGUAAGACUUCGUGGAGGACCGAACCCACCAGGGUUGAAAACCUGGGGGAUGACCUGUGGUUAGGGGUGAAAGGCCAAUCAAACUCCGUGAUAGCUGGUUCUCCCCGAAAUGCAUUUAGGUGCAGCGUCGUGUGUUUCUUGCCGGAGGUAGAGCACUGGAUAGGCGAUGGGCCCUACCGGGUUACUGACCUUAGCCAAACUCCGAAUGCCGGUAAGUGAGAGCGCGGCAGUGAGACUGUGGGGGAUAAGCUCCAUGGUCGAGAGGGAAACAGCCCAGAGCAUCGACUAAGGCCCCUAAGCGUACGCUAAGUGGGAAAGGAUGUGGAGUCGCACAGACAACCAGGAGGUUGGCUUAGAAGCAGCCACCCUUGAAAGAGUGCGUAAUAGCUCACUGGUCUAGUGA